GGGAUUGCCCUAGUAACGGGGAGUGAAGCGGCAACAGCUCAAAUUUGAAAUCUGGCUCUAGGGCCCGAGUUGUAAUUUGCAGAGGAUGAUUUUGGCGCGGUGCCUUCCGAGUUCCCUGGAACGGGACGCCUUAGAGGGUGAGAGCCCCGUACGGUUGGACAUCAAGCCUCUGUAAAUCUCCUUCGACGAGUCGAGUAGUUUGGGAAUGCUGCUCUAAAUGGGAGGUAAAUUUCUUCUAAAGCUAAAUACCGGCCAGAGACCGAUAGCGCACAAGUAGAGUGAUCGAAAGAUGAAAAGCACUUUGAAAAGAGGGUUAAAUAGCACGUGAAAUUGUUGAAAGGGAAGCAUUUACUACCAGACCUUCUCCCUGCGGAUCAUGCGGUGUUCUCACCGCUGCACUUCGCUUGGUUUAGGCCAGCAUCGGUUUUCGUAGAGGGAUAAAAGCUUUAGGAACGUAGCUCCCUCGGGAGUGUUAUAGCCUUUUGCAUAAUACCUUUACGGGGACCGAGGACCGCGCUUUUGCAAGGAUGCUGGCAUAAUGGUAGUCAAUGACCCGUCUUGAAACACGGACCAAGGAGUCGAACAUUUAUGCGAGUGUUUGGGUGUUAAACCCUCACGCGUAAUGAAAGUGAACGUAGGUGAGAGCCCUUACGGGUGCAUCAUCGACCGAUCUUGAUGUCUUCGGAUGGAUUUGAGUAAGAGCAUAACUGUUCGGACCCGAAAGAUGGUGAACUAUGCGUGGAUAGGGUGAAGCCAGAGGAAACUCUGGUGGAGGCUCGCAGCGGUUCUGACGUGCAAAUCGAUCGUCAAAUCUGCGCAUGGGGGCGAAAGACUUAUCGAACCAUUAAACCAGCGGUAAAAAUAUUUACUAGGUGGUUAAGAGGCCCUCUGUAAAGAGGAAAAGGCCUAGGUGACCUAUCCUGAAAGAUGCUACCCGGCACUUUCGGGUGGGAUACCGACAUCGCUAAAUUGCGGGAACAUCCUACUGUAAGGCUAGGGGUUACCGCCGCCUGCUGAAAAGCUCGGCGGCACUGGGAGUAGCGCUCUC
RNAcentral lists this ribosomal RNA (1048 nucleotides) under Muscodor sp. RNAcentral's name for it is "partial large subunit ribosomal RNA". It matches the Rfam family "Eukaryotic large subunit ribosomal RNA", at positions 71 to 1443 of the family's 3401-position model. The record is from RNAcentral. Lineage: Eukaryota; Fungi; Ascomycota; Sordariomycetes; Xylariales.